UAUAAGGGAUUUUGAGUUUUUGCUUGCAACGUUUGACCACUCGUCUUAUUUAAAAUUUUUUGAAAUUAUUAAUUAUUUUAUUUGUGACUUACUUUAUUAUCUACAGUACUUUAAGCACAACUUUUCGUAUUUUAUAUUUGCAAAAAAAUUUGAAUAAGACGAGUGGUCAAACGUUGCAAGCAAAAACUGAAAAUCCCUUAUA
Molecule: microRNA precursor, 202 nt
Organism: Oryza sativa Japonica Group (Japanese rice)
Lineage: Eukaryota; Viridiplantae; Streptophyta; Magnoliopsida; Poales; Poaceae
Rfam family: MIR812 microRNA precursor family
Source: Rfam